RNAcentral lists this long non-coding RNA (370 nucleotides) under Setaria viridis. Its description in RNAcentral is "long non-coding RNA (SVIR_LNC006983)". Lineage: Eukaryota; Viridiplantae; Streptophyta; Magnoliopsida; Poales; Poaceae. The record is from RNAcentral.
AAACUCGUAAGAAGAGGUAUGAGAUCGGCCAUUGGCAAAACCAGUUGGGAGAAUACAAGGGACUGCAUAAGUUUUGAACACUAGUUUGAACAGUUCAUGUGGGAAAGACUUUUAAAAGAUAGAGUUAUCUAGGAAUUUGAACUGAUCAAUAUCUGCAUAUGCACACCAGGUUAUGGUAUCUUCUCUGAGACCACAAUAAAAAAGUUUAAAGAAACGGGAUGUUUCUGGCACCGAUGGUGAACAGCUUGUGAUUCUUGAUGAUGCUUCUCCAUAAGAUUCACAUCGGUGUUGGGAUUCUUCUUCCCCUUCAGCAUAAUCAUUUGGGAAAGUAUAGGAGAAUAGGUUUGUUCCUUCACCCUUGGCUAUAUAA